UCAAAGUGUAAAGUGUAGUACACAGUCAAACCUGCUGCUUAGCUCAGGUGUGUAAAACAGUAUCUUGCCAACAUUCAGUUAGUAUGAAAACCUCAUCAGCAAGGUGUUGUGUGUGGUUCUGGUGUUGUCUUCUCAAGUUUGAUGUGUGUUUUGUGCUUAAAAUACUUUUAGCCUGGUGGUUGGUGGCACGUGCCUUUAACCCCAGCACUUGAGAGGCAGAGAGAAAUGAAUCUCUGAAAGUUCCAGGCCAUCCUGGUCUACAGAGCGAGUUCCAGGACACCCAGGACUACACAAAGAGAAGUCUGUUUCAAAAAAAAAAAAACAAAAGAAGAAAAUACAUUUUAGUUAGCUACUUUUCAAGACCUUAGACCCACAUGUAAUUGGCACUUACCAUGUUAAAUAGUAUAAUUUUAAAAAGCCUUGGAGAAUUGGCUAUAAAAUACUGGACAGCUAAUCAACAUUUGAUGAGGGCUAGGAGAUCAAGGGGCUUGUCUAUCUUAUUAGAGACCUGGGGUUUGACUUUCACACUACAAAAACACUCCCCAAAUAAAACUUGGUCAUCAGAUGUGACGUGCACAUACUGGGAAGCCGAUGUGCAGCAAAGGAGCACAGCUGCUUCUGAUUCCCCCUUUGAUGGGCACAGCUUUCCUCUCCUUGCUGUUUACCUGGCUGGGAUCUGGUUAGGGUUAUCAGUGAGAUAUGUCAAAUG
RNAcentral lists this long non-coding RNA (709 nucleotides) under Rattus norvegicus (Norway rat). RNAcentral describes it as "long non-coding RNA NONRATT003073". The record is from RNAcentral. Lineage: Eukaryota; Metazoa; Chordata; Mammalia; Rodentia; Muridae.